RNAcentral lists this ribosomal RNA (423 nucleotides) under uncultured bacterium. Its description in RNAcentral is "bacterial SSU rRNA". It matches the Rfam family "Bacterial small subunit ribosomal RNA", at positions 29 to 447 of the family's 1533-position model. The record is from RNAcentral.
ACGAACGCUGGCGGCGUGGAUAAGACAUGCAAGUCGAACGCUUGUCUCUGGGUAGCAAUAUUCAGGGGCAGGAGUGGCGCAAGGGUGCGUAACACGUGGAUCAUCUGCCUGGAAGUUCGGAAUAAUUCCGCGAAAGCGGGACUAAUGCCGGAUGUGGAUGGAAGUCUAAAGCUGGGGACCGCAAGGCCUGGCGCUUCCAGAUGAGUCCGCGGCCUAUCAGCUAGUUGGCGGGGUAAUGGCCCACCAAGGCUAAGACGGGUAGCUGGUCUGAGAGGACGACCAGCCUCACUGGAACUGAGACACGGUCCAGACACCUACGGGUGGCAGCAGUCGAGAAUUUUUCUCAAUGGGGGAAACCCUGAAGGAGCGACGCCGCGUGGGGGAUGAAGGGCUUCGGCCCGUAAACCCCUGUCAUUUGCGAAC